RNAcentral lists this ribosomal RNA (429 nucleotides) under Bacteroidota bacterium. RNAcentral describes it as "Bacteroidetes bacterium partial 16S ribosomal RNA". It matches the Rfam family "Bacterial small subunit ribosomal RNA", at positions 355 to 776 of the family's 1533-position model. Lineage: Bacteria; Pseudomonadati; Bacteroidota. The record is from RNAcentral.
UAGGGAAUCUUCCGCAAUGGACGCAAGUCUGACGGAGCAACGCCGCGUGAGUGAAGAAGGAUUUCGGUUCGUAAAACUCUGUUGUUAGAGAAGAACAGCGCAUAGAGUAACUGUUAUGCGUGUGACGGUAUCUAACCAGAAAGCCACGGCUAACUACGUGCCAGCAGCCGCGGUAAUACGUAGGUGGCAAGCGUUGUCCGGAUUUAUUGGGCGUAAAGCGAGCGCAGGCGGUCAAUUAAGUCUGAUGUGAAAGCCCCCGGCACAACCGGGGAGGGUCAUUGGAAACUGGUUGACUUGAGUGCAGAAGAGGAGAGUGGAAUUCCAUGUGUAGCGGUGAAAUGCGUAGAUAUAUGGAGGAACACCAGUGGCGAAGGCGACUCUCUGGUCUGUAACUGACGCUGAGGCUCGAAAGCGUGGGUAGCAAACAGG